Molecule: ribosomal RNA, 113 nt
Filed under: Microsphaeropsis proteae
Lineage: Eukaryota; Fungi; Ascomycota; Dothideomycetes; Pleosporales; Didymellaceae
Description: partial 28S ribosomal RNA
Rfam family: Eukaryotic large subunit ribosomal RNA
Source: RNAcentral
UUGACCUCGGAUCAGGUAGGGAUACCCGCUGAACUUAAGCAUAUCAAUAAGCGGAGGAAAAGAAACCAACAGGGAUUGCCCUAGUAACGGCGAGUGAAGCGGCAACAGCUCAA